RNAcentral lists this long non-coding RNA (203 nucleotides) under Rosa chinensis. RNAcentral's name for it is "sRNA RchiOBHm_Chr6g0280261". The record is from RNAcentral. Lineage: Eukaryota; Viridiplantae; Streptophyta; Magnoliopsida; Rosales; Rosaceae.
GGUAGGUGGAGAUCUUCUCCUUGCAAGAAUAAAAACAGAAGGCUUUUACUUUCUCUGUUAGUAAGUUUCAGAAUUUUUGGGUCUAAUCUGAGUUUUAUUGAAGCUUUCUGUAUAGGUGAGAGAUGAGUUUCUAUAGAGAACUUGCGAAUAGGGCUGUGGAGACUGAUAUGCCGGUCAUGGUUCAGUUUUGGUGUGAGUUUUAA